AUCAGUUUGAAUCCCAUGCGGUAAAUCUUUACCUUAAUGAGCACUGGUUUCUUAAAAACACAGACAGUCUCUUCUCUCUACUAAUUCAUAGUCCUUCACUAAGAGUAUGUCUCUCCUUAACGAAAUAACCGUUAUUUUUUGUCAUUGCAGGCUCUUUUGGGGGCUCACAGCUGAGCAGGCUGGUUUAGGGGGGCAGCAUGUUAAGAUGUGCUUUGCAUUGCUGAUGAGGCAAUGGCAUCAGGCUUCUAAUGGAGACCAUCGUAGGAAUGAGUGCUUAAAGUCAUCUCCAGUUUGACUCUCUCAUCUUUCUGGAGGAUCCACCUCACUCUUGAGUGAUUUUAGAAGGAGACUAACUAACUAACUAGCUGAUGCUAAGCAGUUUUCAUAUGUUCUGAAUCCGCAGGUUCCCAGACCAAUCAUUUUAAGCCUCCAGAGGAUGGACCACCUGCUCUCAGAUGACUGUUGAAAUCAUCUCAAAGUAGCUCCUAGGAUCUUCACGCUGUGGUCUGAGAAACACAGGGGAAAGAUGACUCCUUCCCCAGAAGAUGUGGCCUUUUGCAGCUCUGCAGCAAAGGUUUCAUGCUGCCUACACGGAACUAAGCACACUCCUUGCUCUUGCUGGUCAUCACCUUUCUUUUAACCACUCCUACAGGUGAGACAAGUUGAGCCAAAUGCCAGCAGUGUGUGCAAUGGUACAAAGUCCUCAUCAAUAAGCAGCUUGGAAGCCACCUGCAGUCAAAGUGCUGUACCACGGCCUCAGCAGAAGCCACCUGAGAAGCAUCUUGGCUUUUGGGGACCAACUUUACGAUGCAAAGGGCUUUGUCUGUGCCUCCCUGGCUGCACUGUUGGUUGGGUAGAGAGUGAGACUGAUGCUUCCCUGGGAUCUUUCCUGUGUGGGUUGCUGGGGUUUGUGUGCCUUGCACCAGCUGUACAAGUGGGCUGGGAAGGAGCAGCUGGGGGAGCAGAGGAACACCUCCAAGUCUCACAAUUGCCAUCAGGGAUAAGGCUACUUUCAUGCCAGCCUUGGAGCUGUCACAUGCAGCACUAGUGUCUGUUUAUUUACAAGAAAAGAGUCUUUCUGACACCACUAUGUGCCUUUCCUUUGGCUGACGGCUGAAGAAAGUGAUGGAGCUCAGGCUGCCAGGAAGCUUGGGAGGAAUUUUAGGAAUGUGUCAAUUAGCUGGAGAGAGUGAUUAGCAGUGAUUCAUAGGGGCUUAGUGCCUCUUCCUCGCUGCUUUCUGGCCACAUGACUCGACAGGUGAGUUUGCCCAACUUGUGCUCAUUUUGGCCGCUCGAGCCCAUUUUGCAGCUGAUGACUUAAGAGGUGUCACUUCCCCAGCAGUAGCUGGGUGUGAGUUCAGCCUGGGUGUGAGCUGGGUGUGAGUUACAAGCUGAGAGGGAAGAUGGAAGUUAUUCCAAGUCAACAUCCUCCAGAGUCUUUAAAUACUUCAGUUCACCUCAGCCCCGCCGAAUGCGGUCCCUUCGCUUGGCUAUAGCUUUUCUGUCAGCCUCCCACACUCUGCAUAAAACCAAACUCCAGCCCUCUGUGUCCUUUAAAUUAUUUGCCUUUAUUGUACAAGCUCCAAGAACAAAGCUAAAGAAAAACAAUGAAAAUAAACAAAUUUUAAACACAACCACAUUUCAUGCCCAUUCCUCAAGCCAAGCUCUUGUUAUUCCAGAGAGCGGGGCCACAAGUAUGAAGGACAAAAAGUGAUAAACGAGUUCAUCAGACAACCAGCAGAUCAUGGUUCUUGCUCAAGAAAAAGUAGCUCACAGUGCUCUUUUUAGGUCAUAGAUACCAUGAGACUUCAUUAAUGACUCACAAAGUGCGCAGAGAGCUUUAAAUGAAAACUAUUUUCUUUGUGUGCAAAA
Molecule: long non-coding RNA, 1872 nt
Organism: Anas platyrhynchos (mallard)
Lineage: Eukaryota; Metazoa; Chordata; Aves; Anseriformes; Anatidae
Source: RefSeq, a predicted model, not a curated record